RNAcentral lists this ribosomal RNA (518 nucleotides) under Latilactobacillus curvatus. RNAcentral describes it as "bacterial SSU rRNA". It matches the Rfam family "Bacterial small subunit ribosomal RNA", at positions 28 to 507 of the family's 1533-position model. Lineage: Bacteria; Bacillati; Bacillota; Bacilli; Lactobacillales; Lactobacillaceae. The record is from RNAcentral.
GACGAACGCUGGCGGCGUGCCUAAUACAUGCAAGUCGAACGCACUUUCGUUAGAUUGAAGAAGCUUGCUUCUGAUUGAUAACAUUUGAGUGAGUGGCGGACGGGUGAGUAACACGUGGGUAACCUGCCCUAAAGUGGGGGAUAACAUUUGGAAACAGAUGCUAAUACCGCAUAAAACCUAGCACCGCAUGGUGCAAGGUUGAAAGAUGGUUUCGACUAUCACUUUAGGAUGGACCCGCGGUGCAUUAGUUAGUUGGUGAGGUAAAGGCUCACCAAGACCGUGAUGCAUAGCCGACCUGAGAGGGUAAUCGGCCACACUGGGACUGAGACACGGCCCAGACUCCUACGGGAGGCAGCAGUAGGGAAUCUUCCACAAUGGACGAAAGUCUGAUGGAGCAACGCCGCGUGAGUGAAGAAGGUUUUCGGAUCGUAAAACUCUGUUGUUGGAGAAGAAUGUAUCUGAUAGUAACUGAUCAGGUAGUGACGGUAUCCAACCAGAAAGCCACGGCUAACUACGUG